This 2900-nucleotide ribosomal RNA is filed under the name Klebsiella pneumoniae. RNAcentral describes it as "bacterial LSU rRNA". It matches the Rfam family "Bacterial large subunit ribosomal RNA". The record is from RNAcentral. Lineage: Bacteria; Pseudomonadati; Pseudomonadota; Gammaproteobacteria; Enterobacterales; Enterobacteriaceae.
UUAAGCGACUAAGCGUACACGGUGGAUGCCCUGGCAGUCAGAGGCGAUGAAGGACGUGCUAAUCUGCGAAAAGCGUCGGUAAGGUGAUAUGAACCGUUAUAACCGGCGAUGUCCGAAUGGGGAAACCCAGUGUGAUUCGUCACACUAUCGUUAACUGAAUACAUAGGUUAACGAGGCGAACCGGGGGAACUGAAACAUCUAAGUACCCCGAGGAAAAGAAAUCAACCGAGAUUCCCCCAGUAGCGGCGAGCGAACGGGGAGCAGCCCAGAGUCUGAAUCAGCUUGUGUGUUAGUGGAACGGUCUGGAAAGUCCGACGGUACAGGGUGAUAGUCCCGUACACCAAAAUGCACAGGCUGUGAACUCGAAGAGUAGGGCGGGACACGUGGUAUCCUGUCUGAAUAUGGGGGGACCAUCCUCCAAGGCUAAAUACUCCUGACUGACCGAUAGUGAACCAGUACCGUGAGGGAAAGGCGAAAAGAACCCCGGCGAGGGGAGUGAAAAAGAACCUGAAACCGUGUACGUACAAGCAGUGGGAGCACCUUCGGGUGUGACUGCGUACCUUUUGUAUAAUGGGUCAGCGACUUAUAUUCUGUAGCAAGGUUAACCGUAUAGGGGAGCCGCAGGGAAACCGAGUCUUAACUGGGCGUUAAGUUGCAGGGUAUAGACCCGAAACCCGGUGAUCUAGCCAUGGGCAGGUUGAAGGUUGGGUAACACUAACUGGAGGACCGAACCGACUAAUGUUGAAAAAUUAGCGGAUGACUUGUGGCUGGGGGUGAAAGGCCAAUCAAACCGGGAGAUAGCUGGUUCUCCCCGAAAGCUAUUUAGGUAGCGCCUCGUGAAUUCAUCUUCGGGGGUAGAGCACUGUUUCGGCUAGGGGGUCAUCCCGACUUACCAACCCGAUGCAAACUACGAAUACCGAAGAAUGUUAUCACGGGAGACACACGGCGGGUGCUAACGUCCGUCGUGAAGAGGGAAACAACCCAGACCGCCAGCUAAGGUCCCAAAGUCAUGGUUAAGUGGGAAACGAUGUGGGAAGGCACAGACAGCCAGGAUGUUGGCUUAGAAGCAGCCAUCAUUUAAAGAAAGCGUAAUAGCUCACUGGUCGAGUCGGCCUGCGCGGAAGAUGUAACGGGGCUAAACCAUGCACCGAAGCUGCGGCAGCGACACUAUGUGUUGUUGGGUAGGGGAGCGUUCUGUAAGCCUGCGAAGGUGACCUGUGAGGGUUGCUGGAGGUAUCAGAAGUGCGAAUGCUGACAUAAGUAACGAUAAAGCGGGUGAAAAGCCCGCUCGCCGGAAGACCAAGGGUUCCUGUCCAACGUUAAUCGGGGCAGGGUGAGUCGACCCCUAAGGCGAGGCCGAAAGGCGUAGUCGAUGGGAAACAGGUUAAUAUUCCUGUACUUGGUGUUACUGCGAAGGGGGGACGGAGAAGGCUAUGUUAGCCGGGCGACGGUUGUCCCGGUUUAAGCAUGUAGGCUGAUUAUCCAGGCAAAUCCGGAUAAUCAAGGCUGAGGUGUGAUGACGAGGCACUACGGUGCUGAAGUAACAAAUGCCCUGCUUCCAGGAAAAGCCUCUAAGCAUCAGGUAACAUCAAAUCGUACCCCAAACCGACACAGGUGGUCAGGUAGAGAAUACCAAGGCGCUUGAGAGAACUCGGGUGAAGGAACUAGGCAAAAUGGUGCCGUAACUUCGGGAGAAGGCACGCUGGUGUGUAGGUGAAGUCCCUGCGGAUGGAGCUGAGACCAGUCGAAGAUACCAGCUGGCUGCAACUGUUUAUUAAAAACACAGCACUGUGCAAACACGAAAGUGGACGUAUACGGUGUGACGCCUGCCCGGUGCCGGAAGGUUAAUUGAUGGGGUUAUCCGUAAGGAGAAGCUCUUGAUCGAAGCCCCGGUAAACGGCGGCCGUAACUAUAACGGUCCUAAGGUAGCGAAAUUCCUUGUCGGGUAAGUUCCGACCUGCACGAAUGGCGUAAUGAUGGCCAGGCUGUCUCCACCCGAGACUCAGUGAAAUUGAACUCGCUGUGAAGAUGCAGUGUACCCGCGGCAAGACGGAAAGACCCCGUGAACCUUUACUAUAGCUUGACACUGAACAUUGAGCCUUGAUGUGUAGGAUAGGUGGGAGGCUUUGAAGCGUGGACGCCAGUCUGCGUGGAGCCAACCUUGAAAUACCACCCUUUAAUGUUUGAUGUUCUAACGUUGGCCCCUUACCGGGGUUGCGGACAGUGUCUGGUGGGUAGUUUGACUGGGGCGGUCUCCUCCCAAAGCGUAACGGAGGAGCACGAAGGUUAGCUAAUCCUGGUCGGACAUCAGGAGGUUAGUGCAAUGGCAUAAGCUAGCUUGACUGCGAGCGUGACGGCGCGAGCAGGUGCGAAAGCAGGUCAUAGUGAUCCGGUGGUUCUGAAUGGAAGGGCCAUCGCUCAACGGAUAAAAGGUACUCCGGGGAUAACAGGCUGAUACCGCCCAAGAGUUCAUAUCGACGGCGGUGUUUGGCACCUCGAUGUCGGCUCAUCACAUCCUGGGGCUGAAGUAGGUCCCAAGGGUAUGGCUGUUCGCCAUUUAAAGUGGUACGCGAGCUGGGUUUAGAACGUCGUGAGACAGUUCGGUCCCUAUCUGCCGUGGGCGCUGGAGAAUUGAGGGGGGCUGCUCCUAGUACGAGAGGACCGGAGUGGACGCAUCACUGGUGUUCGGGUUGUCAUGCCAAUGGCACUGCCCGGUAGCUAAAUGCGGAAGAGAUAAGUGCUGAAAGCAUCUAAGCACGAAACUUGCCCCGAGAUGAGUUCUCCCUGAGACUUUAAGUCUCCUGAAGGAACGUUGAAGACGACGACGUUGAUAGGCCGGGUGUGUAAGCGCAGCGAUGCGUUGAGCUAACCGGUACUAAUGAACCGUGAGGCUUAACCUU